This 332-nucleotide ribosomal RNA is filed under the name uncultured bacterium. RNAcentral's name for it is "bacterial SSU rRNA". It matches the Rfam family "Bacterial small subunit ribosomal RNA", at positions 568 to 898 of the family's 1533-position model. The record is from RNAcentral.
CGCGUAGGUGGUUGCGUAAGUCGGAUGUGAAAUCCCCAGGCUUAACCUGGGAACUGCAUCCGAUACUGCAUGACUCGAGUGCAGCAGAGGGAAACGGAAUUCCUGGUGUAGAGGUGAAAUUCGUAGAUAUCAGGAGGAACACCGGUGGCGAAGGCGGUUUCCUGGGCUGACACUGACACUGAGGCGCGAAAGCGUGGGUAGCAAACAGGAUUAGAUACCCUGGUAGUCCACGCUGUAAACGGUGAGUGCUGGGUGUGGGAGGUGUAAUGCCUUCUGUGCCGAAGCUAACGCGUUAAGCACUCCGCCGUGGGGAGUACGGCCGCAAGGUUGAA